Molecule: non-coding RNA, 2437 nt
Organism: Sus scrofa (pig)
Lineage: Eukaryota; Metazoa; Chordata; Mammalia; Artiodactyla; Suidae
Source: RefSeq, a predicted model, not a curated record
GCCCCGCACGGAGAGGGCGAUGGAACCAGAGCCACAGUGAUUCGCUACGAGCCCAUUUCACAGAUUGAAGCUUCGAGAGAAGUGCCACCCACACCCGUGGCACAGGAUCUGAAUCCCUGACUGCACGGAGUGUGGAAGCUUUGCUCUGCCUCCCAGGAAUAAGUAAUCAACUCUCAUUACGUAUGGACAGUGUCUCCCUGAAAGGGAGGCUCGGAAGUGGUGUCUGCCUCCUGUAAAACUGGUCUAAAAGAGUAACAGGAUUGUCAAAAGAUGCUUUUCCAAGAAAGAGCCUUGGGUGCCUCGCCUCGCCUUGCUGCCAGUGGAGCUGCUUCAUCAUCAAGCCCAGAGGAGUAUCUUUAUUCAACAAGGGGUCCAUGACAUUAGCACUUGUCAUCUGCCUCUGUAAGGAUUGAAUCAUGAACCACUGCAGCUGCUGACCCUCAACACCCCCUGCAAGAAUUCAAGGAGGAGGAGUGAGGCACUCCGUGCUCUGGGAAAACUGGCAGAACAGGUCUUCGAAUAGUUAGAUAUUUUCAGAAGAUUUUAUUAGCCCAGUGCUUGCAUUUCCUUAUAUCCAGAAAAGCGCUAAAAUCCCUCAUGGUGACCUCUGCUCCUUGGGACUAGCAGUAACCUUCACAAGACUAGCAGUGACCUUCUGCAAAAUGUAUGCUUAAUUGCCUGCACUUCCCCCCUUCACCAGUCACAUAUAUCCUGACAUUUCCCCACCACCUCUCUGGAGCAGUUUUGCAAAGCUAUGUCAAAUGCUGCUUCCCAGGCUAUAGUCUUCAUUUUGCCCCAAAUGAAACUUAACUCACAGCUCUAACAUUGUGUAUUUUCAUAAAGCUGAUACUUCCUUCUCACUUCCUCCUCCAGAAAACAGCCUCAGGAACAGAAAUCCAGGUUCUGAGUUCGUAGAUCUUGGACAGAGACUUGGAUCUAAAUUUUUAAAAAUCUCUCUUGGGAAUUAGGAUGCCCACAUGAAUUGACUCAGAAGAAGGCUUUUUUCGCAGGAAUGCCAAGAAUUUCUCACACUUGGUAGUGGGAAGUUGUCAAAGAACUGUCAAACCCACAGGGAUUCUGGCAGCUCAGAGUGAAUUGGCUGCCUAGUCUUUGAAUUUACCAAAACACACAUACAUUACUUUCUUGUGGCAGAGGCACAAAAUACUAAAACAUGCAGGGUAAAACAAGACACCCCUCUGAGUCACUAACUCCCCUGGUGCUCGGUGCUUCCAACCUAGUCCCUUCAGCUGGUGCUUCCAACCUAGUCCCUUCAGCUGGAAGAGUCUACCUUCCUAGGGAGGUAGACUCCCUAGGAAGUCUACCUAUCUAAUGGAUAUUCAGGCACAAAUGUAUAUACAUGGGAUUAAAUAAUAGAUAAUUUGGAAUUUGCUUCUACAUUCACAUUCAUCUCAGUCAUAAUAUCAAAUCUUAAAGAUGGUUCUAUGUUAGAAUACUUAAAUCUCAGACAGGCUGGGACCUGGGGCCUUGCUGCAGUGCUUGUACCUAACCAAACAUCUCCUUGAGCAACAAAAUACAAAGAAACUCUAAGGGACUAAAAAUAACUGCAUGAAGUGCACUUGGGGCAAAUUAUGAACAAUAAGAUACAAAAAGACCAAAAACCCAAUGCCUCUUCUGAGGUGUCAAAGACACAAACAGGGUGUCAGGACCCAAAGCAGGAUACUAUGCAUGCCCUCUGCACACAGCACCACAAACAGAGUGGGCAGGCCACCUAACCACCCCUCCUCCAGCCAGACCCAUUGACCUGCUCCUACCUUCACCCCACUUAAGGGUCUAGCUUGCCAUCUGUCAGGGAGCCAGAAAGGGAACCUGUUACUUGUUUUUACCCACUGGAGCUGAGUCCAAACAAAGCCUUGCCUGAAUUUCUCCUCUGGCCUCUUAGCAAUUUCUAUUGAUUAAAUAGUCUAAGAACCCAGGUCAGUGACAAAUCCAUCUCAUUCCUUUGAAGAGUUGCAAAAUGUCUUAUGAUGGAUGCACUGUUAUUCCUCCCGACAAGCUCCUAUUGAUGGACAUGGAGUUUGUUUCCUGUUUUUUGUUUUCUAAUAUAAAGCAUACUAAAGUGAACAUCCUUUUGUACAUAUCUUUAUGUAUUACAUAACUCUGUAUUUCUGAAAGUCUUGAUUCCUGGAAGAGGAAUCAUUGAUUCAGAGGGCCUUUUAAUUUUGCUGGAUAUGCCCAAAGGCUCUUAAAAAUCCCAAAGGAGGGGCCAGGUCCUGAGAGCACAGGACUCAAAGGUGCAUCCAAUUACACUGUAGUCUGUGUUGGAGUUUUGCUGCAGGGGUUUCCAUUAACAUAAAAUACUUCUGGUGUGGAGCCAACUGAAGUUGUAGAUCUAGGAGCCCUGUACAUUCUCCAAUACUGGGUAUUUAUCUUUAAAAAUUCUUUUUCUUUUUAUGGCCACACCUGCUGCAUAUGGAAG